This 20235-nucleotide long non-coding RNA is filed under the name Jatropha curcas. RNAcentral describes it as "long non-coding RNA (JCUR_LNC000055)". Lineage: Eukaryota; Viridiplantae; Streptophyta; Magnoliopsida; Malpighiales; Euphorbiaceae. The record is from RNAcentral.
GCUAUAAUUAAUAUAUUUAUUAUAUUUCCUCUUAAAGAAAUAUCAAGUCUCUGGUUCACUACAUUGCUGCAGUAUUUAAAGGGUUCACUCAUCAUCUCCACUUUCAAAUCAAAACCACACCAAAAAAGAUUAACAACAACAGGAAAUGUCUAUAUCAAAUCUAAUUUCUCUCAACCAACAAUGGCUUCCAAUUCUUGCAGUCUUUCUUCUUCCAAUUUUCACCCUCUUUCUCUUCAAAAGCAAGAAGAGAACUGAAGGUCCUAAACUACCACCAGGUCCAAGACGACUCCCCAUUAUUGGCAAUCUUCACCAGUUAGGCGACAGGCCGUACUACGAUUUGUGGAAAUUGUCACAAAAAUAUGGCCCUGUCAUGCGAGUUCAAUUAGGGAGAUCACCUGGNNNNNNNNNNNNNNNNNNNNNNNNNNNNNNNNNNNNNNNNNNNNNNNNNNNNNNNNNNNNNNNNNNNNNNNNNNNNNNNNNNNNNNNNNNNNNNNNNNNNNNNNNNNNNNNNNNNNNNNNNNNNNNNNNNNNNNNNNNNNNNNNNNNNNNNNNNNNNNNNNNNNNNNNNNNNNNNNNNNNNNNNNNNNNNNNNNNNNNNNNNNNNNNNNNNNNNNNNNNNNNNNNNNNNNNNNNNNNNNNNNNNNNNNNNNNNNNNNNNNNNNNNNNNNNNNNNNNNNNNNNNNNNNNNNNNNNNNNNNNNNNNNNNNNNNNNNNNNNNNNNNNNNNNNNNNNNNNNNNNNNNNNNNNNNNNUGGAUAUGUUAAACGGUUUUCAUGCGGAGGAUUUUUUCCCUAGUGCUGGAAGAUUCAUUGAUUCUUUGACUGGUGCUCUUGCUAAAAGAGAACAAACUUUCAGAAACCUUGAUGCGUAUUUUCAGAAAAUUCUUGAGCGGCAUCUGGACCCAAAUAGACCUAAGCCUGAACAUGAAGAUAUUGUUGAUGUCUUGGUUGGGCUGAUGAGAGACCAAGGUGCUUCUUUCCAACUUACUAAAGACCAUCUCAAGUCGAUUCUCAUGGUAUCAAAUUCAAUUUUUCUUUCAAAUAAUGUUCUUUCUUUUUUGUGGAUCUCCAGGCUAAUCUUCUAAAACUAUAAUACAUUUUUUGGCAGGAUAUCUUUGUGGGUGGCAUUGAUACAAGUUCUGUGACAACCGCAUGGGCAUUCACAGAGAUACUAAAGAAUCCAAGAAUAAUGAAAAAAGUACAAGAAGAGAUAAGAGGAAUUGUUGGACCAAAUAAAAACAGAGUAGAAGGAAGAGAUCUUGAUAAAUUCAAAUACUUGGAAUUAAUAGUAAGAGAAACCUUCAGAAUACACCCACCAGUCCCACUUCUGAUCCCUCAUUUUUGCACCAAAAAAUGCAAAAUUGGUGGGUAUGACAUUUUACCAGGCACAACAGUAUUCAUCAACACUUAUGCACUUGGAAGAGAACCAUCUAAGUGGGAGAACCCUGAAGAAUUUUACCCAGAAAGAUUUGAGAACAGUGAUGUUGAUUACAGAGGGUCCUACUUUGAGUUGGUCCCAUUCGGAGCUGGAAGAAGAAUUUGUCCUGGUCUGGCAAUGGGUACUACAGCAGUUAAAUACACAUUGGCUAAUCUCUUAUAUGGGUUUGAUUUUGAGCUCCCUAAUGGAAAGAAAUUUGAGGACUUUCCAAUGGAAGAAGCUGGUGGUCUCACUAUCCAUAACAAGCACGAUCUUAUACUUAUUCCAAAAAAGCACAAGUGGGACUAAGAUUUUAUUAUUUUUUAUUUUUGUUUCCCUAUUUUAGGCUUUUUUUUCUCGUUGAUGUCAUGUGUUAUGCCUCAAUAAUAAAUAAAUAAAAUGGUGCAUCACCAUUAAAUUUCCUAUAUUUAUGUGUUGGAUUUUAUUGUUAAUAGUGAUUAUCUCUAUAUUUAAGAAUCAUAAAUCCAAAUAUUGCCUUAAUGAAAGACCUUCCACCCUUCUUCCUGCCAAAUUUUUAAUUUGAAAUUUAUAUUCUGGAGAAGAGGUGGUGCAAAUAAAUAAUUUGGAUUUAAAUUUAUGAUGAGGUUCUAUUAUAUUACCAAAAUAACUGGAAUUGAUAAUAUGAAUGAUUGUCUUUUUUUUUUUCUUUUGGAAAAAUAAAUGAUUUUCCUUUAGAACUUACUACUAUACUUCUUACAUUCUUGGUUACUUCCAACUCUACCAACAGAAUAAUAACUUCGGGUAUGUUCAAUAAAUUUAGCUGUUCUAGUAAUUCUUGGCUGUUUUAAUAGCUGUAAGUAUUUUACUGGUAGUUAGCUAUUUAAUAUUAAGUGUUAAUGGUUAUCCAUUAUAUAGCGGUUUAGAAUAAAAGUGUUGGCUAGGAUGAUUAGCUGUUUACUAUAAAAUGACAAAAAAUGUAUGAAAGCGAGGAACAAAGUAAGACAAGUGAUGAGUAUAAGUGUCAUAAAGAAAUUAUAAAACGCUAAAUGUUAAUAAAGAUAACAUUUCAUAAAACACGGUCUCAUAUUCUAAAAGCUAGAGUAUAUAUUAUAUUACUGAACACUAUAACUAUUAGUAAUCAAAAAAAUUAGAUUUGUAAUAAUAAAUAAGUUUAAAGUUAAAUUUGAUGUUAUUAUUAAAUCUUUAGUUUUUCACCUCCUCAUUUAUGUUAUAUAUAUGAAAGUUGAAACAAGAAGAAAGUUUUAGACUUUAUCUUUAUUCGGUAUUUUAUUUGUAAGAGAACAAUCUUUCUCGACGACUUGCGAUGAAUCGAUGGACUCCAGAAGUUUCGUUUUCUUUUUUGAGAAAUUUUUUAAUUUUUUCUUGAUUUUCUACAUUUUGAUUGGAUAAUUUUUUAAUUUUAAAAAUUAAUGGUAAUACAUUUGAAGAAUUAUAUUCAUAUAAUAAUUCUAUUUGAAAAUUAAAUUUAACAAAUUCAAACUUAAUCUAUUUAUUUUAUUAUAAAUUUAAUCUACUUAUAUUUCUUAUGUAAAACGAUAUUCAACCUUUCUUUCUUUUUUUCCUCUUUAAUUUGCCAAACUGUCUGAUUGUUAAGUGAUGGAUGUCUUUUUUUACAUAAAUUUAGCAAACGGAUAGUUUCAACUCUCAUAAAUAAUGAUCUAAUGCAUAAAUUUGAUUUUAAUAAUUUUUAGCGAUUAUUUUUGUGGCCUCUUGAAUUUUGCAAGAAACAUUUCAUGACUCUGCAUUUUCAUAUUUCAAUAAUAACUAUACUCAUGACUAAAAUGAAAUAUGAAAAUGUAGGGUCAUUGAUAUGAAAUUUUAGUAAUAUUUGAUUUUGGCGAGAGACAUAGCUAUUAAUGAAAUGUGAAAAUGUAGGAUUAUAAUUGGACCCUCGCAAAGUUCAAGAGACUACAAAGAUAAUCGAUAAAAGUUUAGAGUCAAAUUUAUGCAUUAGACGCACGUAUAAUAUAUUUCUGUGAAUUUUUAAAUUUAUUUCUAAAAAAAGUCAAAUUUCUUGAUUGAAAAGUAAAUUCCCUGAUUUGUACUAAUAUAUGAUUAUAUGUACAAGUAAUUCAUUUAAAAUACUAUAAAUUUUACGUGUUAUAACGAUUUUAUCAUAAGUUGAUCCUUUAAACACUAUAAAUUUAUAUUACAAUUGCACCCCAACUUAAAAUCUAAAAUAGAAAUGAAUAAACAAUAGAAGUGAUGGGACCCACGCUUCACGAGACUUGAGUUAAAUUUCAAAUUGUCAUCGUUACAUUCAUAAGCUGGUUUUAAACGAUAACCAUAUGGAGCCACAAUUGUCAUACAUAUAGUAAUUGAUGAAUUACAGAUGCUACUUUUCUUUUUAUCAAAUUUUUUUUUUUUUAUUGUGUAAGUGAAAGUGAUUAAGAAAUGGGGAAUUAAUUAAAAUAUUACCUAUUCGAUGGCAUGUGUUCCAAUAUUAAGACUGUAUAUUAUAUUAUAUUAUAUUAUAUUAUAAAGAGAGAGGAGUUAAUUGUUGGAGAUAGGAAAAUGAAUUUUUUUUGUAAUUUUGUUCAAACAUUGAAAAUCUCCCACAAAUUCUCCUUCCUCUGCAAUUUUCUUAACAUCAUCCAAACAGAGGAAAAUAACUUUCCUCAUUUAUUUUACUCAAUUAUUUUCCUUUCUCGGCUAUUUUCCACCCUUCCAGACGCACAUUUAAACAUUUAUGUGGAUUCCUUAGAUUUUUUUUUUUAUUUGGUUGAGAAAAAGUAAUUCAUAAAAUUUAUGAAUUUCAUCAUAACUUUAAUUUCAUCGUUUCGAGAGAGAGAAAUCUCAGCUCGAAGUUGAGAACCUUAUUAAUUACAUAGUUUUAUAUGAACGAUGGAAGUUAAAUCAUUUAAUUUUAUUUUAAAAAUAACAUUCAAAUCUAUGCAAUUAUUUUCAAUCAAAUAAUAAAAUAUAAGUUUCUAUACAAUAAAAUAAUAAAAUAUUAAGCUGAUUUUCUUUUUAUCAAAUAUUUUUUUUAUUGUGUAAGUGAAAGUGAUUAAGAAAUGGGGAAUUAAUUAAAAUAUUAUAUUUUGGUAAGCCAAUCAUCUUGGCAACAUGCAUAUAUAUAUUUUGGUACCAUAAUUAGGAAAAUGACUUAUAUAAGAGUUAUUCUCCUAAAGUUCAAACUUGAAACUUUUAUUAAAGGAAAAUGAGUUCCAACCACUUCGAACAAUGUGAAUUGAUAAAUAACAGUGAUAUUCUUUUUUUUUUUUUUUCAUCAAUUACUAUUUACAGUCAAUAUUAAAUCUAUUACAAUUAUUACAACCUAUCAAGGACAAUACAACAUAAAGGGGCAAAAAUACAAAUUAUAAUUAAAUGUUGACAUGUAUGAGAAUUAAAUCUGGGAUCUUUGAGUCUUGAGUCCCAAUGCAUCAUUACUAUUAAAAAAUAGAAAUUAAAUGCAUUUGACUGAAUUAUUUUGCUGAAAUAUUAAAAUUAUUAAACAUUUAUUCUUUUCAUAUAUUUUUUUAAUUUUUCAUUACCUUAUCUUUUCUCUCUAAAUUAAAGUCUUAAAAAUUUCUUAUAUAAGAAAAAGAGAGUGAGAAGAAAAUAAAAGAAAGGUAAUAAUCUUAAAAAUCUAAAAAAAUAAAUAAAGUAAAAUAAUUGAAUAAAAUAGUUCACGUUGUUUAUACUUAGUUUACUGUACAUGUAGAUCUAUACACUGAGUGCAGAUAAAUCAUUUCCUUAUUUUUUCAGGAUUACAUUUUCUUUAUAUAUAUAUAUAUAUAUAUAUAUAUAUAUAUAUCCUUCCUGCAAUUUUUUAUUUUCUACAAUGGUUAUUUAUUCUCAACGGUCGAUGAAAUGUUUUAUCAUAGAGCCAAAUCCUCAAUACUUUAAUUAAGAAUUCAAGUAAAACAAUCAUUCUUAUAAUUUAUAGACUUUAAUAUUUGAUACACUAAAAUUGUUAAUUCGCGUUUAAUUUUUUUUAGAGUACCAACGGUGUGCAUGCCUGUGUAACCUGUGUAUGUAUAUAGUCGUAUUUUCAAUAAAAAUAUUUAAUUUUAUUUAUUUAGAAUAUAAGUGAGGUGAUAGACUCGGAUAGGCUAAGUUUAUAUAUAUAUAUAUAUAUAUAUAUUGACAUGCUCAUGUAACAUGUGUAAGUAUAUAGAUGUAUUUUCAAUAAAAAUAUUUAAUUUCAUUUAUUUAGAAUAUAAAUGAAGUGAUAGAGUCGGAUGGGAAAAAUUAUAUUUUUCUGUUAGUUAAUGCUUAUUCUGAUAACCAUAUCAUUAUCACACCAAUUACUUAUACUACGUGGAUGCAUUAGCCACCUAAUAUUUCCAUCAACUCGAAGGGCCUUUGCAUGUGGACGUAGUAGGGGUGCAUGGAACAAUGUAGAAAGAAAGUGAAUUAUACGAUUUCUAAUCAUACGCCUAUAACUUGUGCACAAUUUAAUAUUUUUUUACUGUAUUAGAUAAUAUAGCGUUUAAACUGAAUUUUAGACAUUAAUUUAGUGUUUAUAAAAAGUUAACUCAUAUAAAAUAUAAUUUUUAGCGUUUUAUGAAAAGCAACUCAAACAGCUAAACGUUAAACGAUACUCAAACAGUUAACAACUACCAAAAUAACUAAUUUGGCUAAACAUAUCCUUCCAUGCACAACUAUUAAAAUUUAAGCAAUUUCCUUCAAUAUUUGUUCCUUGAAUUUGUGAGAAUAGACUUUGUAUAAUUUUAUUUAGAAUUGGAUUUUAUUUAAGUUUCUGAGUAUGGGUUUUAAACAAAUAAAAUUUAAGAUAGUUAAUCAUUGUUACACAUUUUGUAUUUUUCUCAGCAGGAUGAUGAGAAGACAUUGGAUUGUCUAUGAUAGAUAAUUUAGAAAUAAAUUUGUUUAUUAGAAUAUAAUUAUGAAAAUGUCGUUUUUAUGUUAGAAUAUCUUUUACAUCUUCCUUUUCUUGAGUUGCAUAUUAGAUUAUCCAGUUUGUACACUUGAACACUCUUAUACAGAGAGAUGUUGCUAAAAUUUCGAUGAAUAUAUAGUAGAAAAUCCGCCUUUAUAUUUAUAUGCAUAAAUAUUCUAAAUGACAUAGGUUGAUACUGAAAAUUUAAGAAAAUAUAAGGAGAUUUAGGAUAUUUAUUGACGGAUAUAUAUAUAUUGAUGGCUUGUAAAUUGUAUAAUACCCUAGAUGCCUCAAACAUGAACAUGUGGCUAGAUUGCUAGACACAUUCGAAGUCAUCUAUUGUGGUCCACAUGUUGUACAUUAAGAUUGAAAUGCUUUGAACUAGCUAGACAAGUUAACGCAAUUUCCAAAUAAUUGUUGUAGUGAGAAGGGUGGCUGCCGAUCUACUCCAUCACGCCGUAUUGGAGGUUGGUAAACUAGUCACUUAAUUUGUUAGUAUUAACUUUUUAGCAUUGGUUGAUCACUGGACUUUACAUUGGAGUGCUUCAUCUGAUCAUCUACAUUUUAUACAAAUUUGAAGGAAUUCAACCACAUUUAUCCCAUCUAGUCACCAACUAUAAAUUAGAGAAGUAAGAAACCUUGCUAAAAAUCAUUAAGAUAAAGAAUAUAAUCGGCCAUCUUAUGGGCACUAAAAUUGAUUUGUAAUGAGAGUUUUAUUCUCUUUUCAUUGUUAGUUAUAAAAUAGACAUGACAUUUUUCUUUAUCAAAUUAGUAUAACCUUUUAUAAUGAAAUACAUUUGAUUUCGAAAAUAAAAUUUGAGAAAACUAACUUGUUUUUCUUGAUGAAUGAAAGAAGAAGGUUAGCUUUAUAUAGCUGUACAUUACAACUGAAAAGAAAAAGAAAAAGGAGUCCAAUAAAACAAUUUUGAAUAAAAUAAAACAAUUUGCGACCGACUUUCAUAAUUGCGACAGACUUUUUCUACGACCAAUAUGCGACAGCGUUUCAAAAUAAAAACACGACCAAACUUUGCGAUCGAUUUUUAAAUUUUGCGACCGAUUUUAUCGAUCGCUAAUUUGUGACCGACCCAAAAAUCAGUCGCAAUUGACUUUGCGACGACGUUUUUUGCGACCGAUAUCUUUAGGUCCCUGAUCGGUCGCUAAUUGAAAUUAGCGACCGAUUUUUGGCAUUUUGCGACCGAUCCGUUUUUUUUGUAGUAUAUAUAUAUAUAUAUUGACAUAAUGAGAAAAAUUAUAUUUUAAUGUUUAUUCUGGUAACCAUAUCAUUAUCAUAUCACCCACCUACCAAUUACUUAUACGACGUGGAUGCAUUAGCCACCUAAUAUUUCCAUCAACGCGAAGGGCCUCUGCAUGUGGACGUAGUAGGGGUGCAUGGAACGAUGUAGAAAGAAAGUGAAUUAUACAAUUUCUAAUCAUGCGCCUGUAACUUGUGCAUAAUUUAAUAUUUUUUUACAGUAUUAGAUAAUAUAGCGUUUAAACUGACUUUUAGAUAUUAAUUUAAUCUUUUAUAAAAGUUAACUCAUAUAAAAUUUAACUUUUAGAGUUUUAUGAAAAGUUAUUCAAACAGCUAAAUGUUAAACGGCACUCAAACAGCUAACAACUACCAAAACAACUAAUUUGGCCAAACGUAUCUUUCCAUGCACAACUAUUAAUAUUUAAGCAAAUUCCUUCAAUAUUUGUAUUACAUAGAAUAAGCACCUGUAGUGCAAUUCAUUAAAAGAACUUAUCAAGUAUAAUUCUUAAUUAAUUAAAUGAAGCAGUCACACAAGAAGGAAGAAACGAUAAGAUUACAAAUAAUACAAAAAUCCUAUUUAUACACCAAACUUAACUUGCCUAAUUUGACUUGCAAGCUAAGUAAAGUAAUUGAAAUGUGAAAUCCAUUCAUCGUCUACUUCAUAUUUCUCAUCUGGGAAACUGGUUGCUAGCAAAUCAAAACAAAAAUAAUCGUAAAUAUUCACCUUGUUAUUUAAAUCUUUUGAUAUGAUAUUGCAAUAUAUGAAUAUUAUAUUUCGCAGUGACUCACUUAGACUCGAUCUAUAAGUCCACUCAUAAAUUAUAUUAAUGAAAAAAAAAAAAUUUCUUAUUCAUUUGAUUCAUGGAUAGAUCCAUAGAUUAGUCCACACAUAUCAAUCCCAAAGAAAUAUAGUAUCAAACUAUAAUACAUUGUUACACAAUUACAAUUUUCUCAAAUACAUCAUUAACAAUUACAUUAUAAACCUAUUAAAGAGCAGAAAUUACAAGUUAAAGAAAUGAGGGAAGGGGUUUGGAGUCUGGAACCUAACAGCUAUUAAAAAAAUAUUUUACAAUAUUUUUCAAAAAUUUGAGGAGUUAAUUAUUAAUUUAUAAAAGCCAGUGAAAUUGUAAUUUUUUUACCUGCAGAAGUUGACUAAGAUUGAAGCUUGUGAGAACUAAUUGUCUCAAUUUAAAAGAAUUAACAAUUAGGAUUUGACUAAUGAUUAUUAAUUCUCAAUUUGGAACUUAAUUUGUUUCUUGAAUUUGUGAGAAUAGACUUUGUAUAAUUUUAUUUAGAAUUGGAUUUUAUUUAAGUUUCUAAGUAUGGGUUUUAAACAAAUAAAAUUUAAGAUAGUUAAUCAUUGUUACACAUUUUGUAUUUUUCUUAGCGGGAUGAUAAGAAGACAUUGGAUUGUCUAUGAUAGAUAAUUUAGAAAUAAAUUUGUUUAUUAGAAUAUAAUUAUGAAAAUGUCGUUUUUAUGUUAGAAUAUCUUUUACAUCUCCCUUUUCUUGAGUUGCAUAUUAGAUUAUCCAGUUUGUACACUUGAACACUCUUACACAGAGAGAUGUUGCUAAAAUUUCGAUGAAUAUAUAGUCGAAAAUCCGCCUUUAUAUUUAUAUGCAUAAAUAUUCUAAAUGACAUAGGUUGAUAUUGAAAAUUUAAGAAAAUAUAAGGAGAUUUAGGAUAUUUAUUGACGGAUAUAUAUAUAUUGAUGGCUUGUAAAUUGUAUAAUACGCUAGAUGCCUCAAACGUGAACAUGUGGCUAGAUUGCUAGACACAUUCGAAGUCAUCUAUUGUGGUCCACAUGUUGUACAUUAAGAUUGAAAUGCUUUGAACUAGCUAGACAAGUUAACGCAAUUCCCAAAUAAUUGUUGCGGUGAGAAGGGUGGCUGCCGAUCUACUCCAUCACGCCAUAUUGGAGGGUGGUAAACUAGUCAAUUAAUUUGUUAGUACUAACUUUUUAGCAUUGGUUGAUCACUGGACUUUACAUUGGAGUGCUUCAUCUGAUCAUCUACAUGUUUUACAAAUUUGAAGGAAUUCAACCACAUUUAUCUCAUCUGGUCACCAACUAUAAAUUGGAGAAGUAAGAAACCUUGCUAAAAGUCAUUAAGAUAAAGAAUAUAAUUGGCCAUCUUAUGGACACUAAAAUUAAUUUGUAAUGAGAGUUUCAUUGUUAGUUAUAAAAUAGACAUGACAUUUUUCUUUAUCAAAUUAGUAUAACCUUUUAUAAUGAAAUACAUUUGAUUUCGAAAAUAAAAUUUGAGAAAACUAACUUGUUUUUCUUGAUGAAUGAAAGAAGAAGGUUAGCUUUAUAUAGCUGUACAUUACAACUGAAAAGAAAAAGAAAAAGGAGUCCAAUACGCUAACAAUUUUGAAUAAAAUAAAACAACUAAGCAUCCUAAAGAAACGAGAUUUAUUAACUAAACAACCUUAAAAAUAGACCAUCCAUAAUAAUAAACUAAAACACAAAAGCUCUAAAAUAUAUCAAACUAGGAUAUUUAAACUUAUUUAAGUACACAUAAUAAUAAUUAGACAUAUUAAUUAUUAUCACGUAUUAUUAAUGGAUCCGGGUUAAAAAGGCUAAUAAUGGGUGUACCCAUACCUAUCCAUUAAUUCCAACAAUUUUAAAAAAAUCUCUCCUUCUAGAAAUACUUUGUGAUCAAUGUUUGUAAAAAUAAGAAUUCAAUUUGUGUAAAAAUAUUAUGAAAAGACACGGUCGUAAAUUUUGAAAUAAAAUUAAUCUCAUACUUAAAAAGAACAUGAGAAUUAUAGAAUGAAAAACAACAUUUUCUCUAUUUAAACUUGAUUUGAAAACUAAAAUUUACUUAUAUGCAAAAGAAUUACGUACAUAUUUGGCAUCAACUUGGUUUUUAAAAUUUUAAUUAAAAUAUUUUGAAUUAUUUUUUUAUGCCAUUUGACCUUGAACUGUUAAACAUUCGGCUUGAGGAACUACAACUAACCAUUCAUCGUAUUCGAAUAUAUGCGGGGUUUUGCUUCGGUGUCCGGCCCAAUAAAAAUAUUUGAGACUCUUCACUACUCGAGCCUAAGCCCAAGACCAAGCCCAAUCCAAAAUAUGUUUUAGCCUUCGGGGCUCGGGAUGAGCCGCGGGAACCAGUUUUGUUCUCUAUGAUCACUUUAUUUCAUAUUGAUUCAUGACAGAGUCAAUUUAGAAAAUGUAUGAAAACUUAAAUAGUACUGGGUGUUUUUUACCACAUGCGUUGCAUUGUUAUUGUUUGGUAUUAUUUUGUAAUUUAUACUCAUUAAUUUAUUUUUAUAUAGUAUUAAGUAUGGUUAUAAUUUAUUCUUCAAUAGUAUUAAUUUUUUAAUAUUCAAAUAAUAAGCGAAUAAUAUUUUUCAUAAACUAAUUUUAAUAUGAUAGAACAACAUUAAAAGCCAAGUAUAUUUAAUAAAAUAAUUAUAGACGAUAAAAUGAAUAAAUUAUUAUUAAUUAUAAGAUUAGAUUUUAAUUUUUUUGAAAAUGAUAAGGUUAAUAGCAUCGAUUUCUUUUUAAAAAAACUAAAUAAUAUGAUCUAUGUUAUUGAAUGUUGAUUUGAAUUCAUGAAAAUCAAAUAAAAGAAAUAAAACUCUAAAAUAAAUAAUAAUAAUAAAGAACUGAAAUAUACCUGAACUUCCACAUAAAUAAAUUUCAAUCGGUAACAGAAAAGAUCAUUUUGAUUUUGGAUUUGAUACCGGUUUAGAUUAAUGGUAUUGAGAUCUACAAACUCCAAUUAUAUCCAUUUUUUGAUUUUUUUUUUUUAAGAGUAUCUUGCUUUCAUUAAUUUAUGUUGAGAUGUAGAGAAUAUAUAGAUAUAUAAAAUCCUUUCGUAUGCGCGGUUCUUGUGUUUAUGGAAGAACCUGUUUUGCAAGUAUAUGACAUUUUGACAACCAAUAUUCAUGAAAAAAGAAAAAAAAAUUUGAAAUGUUGCAUUUAUCUAUACCAUAUAAAUUGGAAAACUUCAAUAUAGAUAAAUAGAUAUAAAUUAAAAAAUUCAAAAUUUUAAAAGUGAUAUAUAUAUAUAUAUAUAUAUAUAUAUAUAUAUAAACGUAUGAAACAAUAUCUUUUCUAGAUAUUUUUGUUUUAUUUUUUUGCAUUUUGAAGUUUAUUUUAAAAUUAAAAUAAUAAUUUAUUUUUUCAAACAAUUAAUAUGGUAAAUAAUCAAUUUUUGAAAAUUCAAUUAAAAUAAUAUAUUAAUAUAAUAAUAUUUUUUUAAUCAAUUAACAAAACAGCAUUAAAAAAACUCUAAUUUAUCGAUUAUUAAAAACUCAAACUAUUAUCAAUCGACCAAUAACCAAGGAUAUUUUAGGAUUUCUAAACUUUCACUAAAAAUAUUAUAGGUAAUCUGGUUAAGAGGGAUAAGUGGAAGCAUCAAUCCCAAUACACUCUAAACAUUCUUUUAACAUAUGGGUAUUAAAAUAUCUUUAUUUUCUUUCAUUUGAUACUCUAAUUGUAAAAAUGUUUUUAAUACUAAUUUAUAGCAGUUGCUAAAUAUAUAAAUUUAAGAGAAGGAUGAGAAAUUUAAGAGGGACAAAAUUAAAUAAUUGAGUCUGAUGAAAAACUCUCUAAGAAAUAAAAACGUGCCCGCCUAAAUAGCGGAUAUUUUUCCUUUUUAGUGGAAAAAUAGGCAAAGCUGUAAUCAUGUUUUAACAUUUGAAUUUUGUGAUAAUUCAAGAAUAAUUGUCUACAAGAAAGACAAGAAAAUUGCCAAAGUUAUGAAAAAAAAAAAAAAAAAAAGGAGGUUUGGUAGAACCAUUAUAAAUGGAUGAAGGAGUCGCAAAAAAAAAAAAAAAAAAAAAAAAAAAAAUAAUCGUGUAGAUUAAUAAUGGUAGUUGAAUAAUAAGGAGAGAAAAAAAAUUAAAAUUAAUCCCCAAAUUUAUAACUAACACACGAGAAUUUAUAUUUUCAAAAAGUAACAAUGAGAUCCAUUCCUUAUAAUUUCAUUAACGCUUUAAUCUUUUCUUCUAAAAUAGCAUUUUUAACUAUCAAUUGAUUGAGAAGUUGAUUCCUAAAUUAUAAUCAAACUAAGUAUGAGAUGUUAAAAUUAUAAUUUCAUUAAUAUUUUGGCUCUAAAUAGAAAAAUCAAAUUAUUAAUGAAUAUAUAAAUUAAAAAUUUUAUAGUUAAUUUUUGAAAAGAGAUCUUGAUUUAGGGACCAGCUUAUUCUUUUCCAUAAUAAGAGGGACAAAAUUAAAUAAUUGAGAAACUGUCUAAGAAAUAAAAACGUGCCCACCUAACUGUUGGGAAAAUCGCUAUUUUCCCGCCCUUGGGAUCGGCUUCAAGCAGGAACAAAUGAGAAAAUAAAAUAAUGACUGAGAAAUUAAAGAGAACACGAUAAUUUAAUGUGGAAAAUUCCCCAAGUGGAGAAAAACCACGGCCGUUGCCAAACGACAAUCAAGAAAAAUAUUCACUAUGCGGCAAAUUGUUACAACCACAAUUACAAAAUAUUUUUCUACCCGACACCCUCAAAACCACCCCAAAUAUUUUAUACUCCAAGGGACUCCAAGAGACUUGCUCUAAAUCUCUAAUAUAAAACACAUUCAAGUAUUUUUGGUGUGUUUUGGUGUGUUUAGAAACCUAAACAUUGGCUUCCUUUUAUAGCCAAUUCAAACACUCUCAAAAGCUCAUCUCCCCGAUGUGGGAUUGAGCUAAAUUUUUAUCGUCAAGAAUUAUCAUACUCCACCAUAAAAGAAUUAUCAUAAUUCUUUUAUGAUAAUUAUCAUACCCUUAUCGUCAAUCAUAAUUCUUAUCGUCAAGAAUUAUCAUACUCCACCAUAAAAGAAUUAUCAUAAUUCUUUUAUGAUAAUUAUCAUACCCUUAUCGUCAAUCAUAAUUCUUAUCGUCAAGAAUUAUCAUACUCCACCAUAAAAGAGUAUCGCCACUUGGAACCACUUUACCGACUCCAAGAAUUUUCCAUCGGUCAUGUCAGAUCCUGCUAAUAGUUUAUGGUGCAACCCUCCUGUUGACUUUUCCAAGAGUUCAUUAGCCAUCGACAUAUUUUUUCUACCACACACUUUGCAUCAACUGUCAACCAAUGCCGUGUGCAUUUCUGUGGACCAGCUACCAAUAAUCCGUCCUCUUUCAUGGCAUCUCAAUGGGUAGCAAUCAUGCCAGGAGGACACACAUCUCUUAAUUACAGAGAGAUCACAUCAUCUCCUUCACCACAGGAGAUCACAUUGGCAGCAACAACGUUAGAGCUUCUAGCCGAAUCACCUCCACCGUUCGGGCAAUCCUUCCUCACGUGUCCAGUUUGACCACAAACCCAGCAGACAACCUUCCUCUUUCCGAAGCUUUUAUUCUUUUUCUUGGUACCGACAAAUAAAGCUGAAUCCUCAUAUGAUUUAUUUUUCAUUUCAUUCAGUCUUCUCUCCUCAGUAAGGAGCUUACUAACCACAUCUGCAUACNNNNNNNNNNUUUCAGAACAGGUUUCAUAUGCUCAUAUGUCGAAGGAAGUGACAGGAUGAGUCGGAGAGCUUUAUCUUCAUCUUCGGUUUGCACUCCAAGAGUUUCUAAUUCAGAGACGAUGCCGUUAAGAACACUCAGGUGAUCUGACAGCUUUGUACCUUCUGUCAUUUUCAACGUAUGAAAUUGCUCCUUCAAAUAUAACCUGUUGGAUAUAUUUUUUCCUCGGUACAACUCUUCCAGUUUCUCCCACAACUCCUUUCCUUUGUCGUGGACAAUCCAAGCACAUUAGCAAGNNNNNNNNNNNNNNNNNNNNNNNNNNNNNNNNNNNNNNNNNNNNNNNNNNNNNNNNNNNNNNNNNNNNNNNNNNNNNNNNNNNNNNNNNNNNNNNNNNNNNNNNNNNNNNNNNNNNNNNNNNNNNNNNNNNNNNNNNNNNNNNNNNNNNNNNNNNNNNNNNNNNNNNNNNNNNNNNNNNNNNNNNNNNNNNNNNNNNNNNNNNNNNNNNNNNNNNNNNNNNNNNNNNNNNNNNNNNNNNNNNNNNNNNNNNNNNNNNNNNNNNNNNNNNNNNNNNNNNNNNNNNNNNNNNNNNNNNNNNNNNNNNNNNNNNNNNNNNNNNNNNNNNNNNNNNNNNNNNNNNNNNNNNNNNNNNNNNNNNNNNNNNNNNNNNNNNNNNNNNNNNNNNNNNNNNNNNNNNNNNNNNNNNNNNNNNNNNNNNNNNNNNAGAACUUUCGUACCAGAAUAACUUCAAUAAUUAUUGUCAGGACCUUCACCACCGGUACACAAGCACACCAAAGCAUCCAAAACUCCACCUGUUUUAAAAUAAAAUAAUUUCUAACAACAGUAUUUGUGAUGUGGAAGAUCAGACUAAGCCGUAACCACAGUGCAUACUUAUAAUUUAAAUUACAAGAAAUUAUUUUAAUACUAAAAGCUCCGCCUAACAACUAGGCUCUGAUACCACUUGUUAGGAAAAUCGCUAUUUUCCUGCCCUUCGGAUCGGCUUCAAGCAGGAACAAAUGAGAAAAUAAAAUAAUGACUGAGAAAUUAAAGAGAACACGAUAAUUUAACGUGAAAAACUCCCCAAGUGGAGAAAAACCACGGCCGUUGCCAAACGACAAUCAAGAAAAAUAUUCAUUAUGCGGCAAAUUGUUACAACCAUAAUUACAAAAUAUUUUUCUACCCGACACCCUCAAAACACCCCAAAUAUUUUAUACUCCAAGAGACUUGCUCUAAAUCCUUAAUAUAAAACACAUUCAAGUAUUUUUGGUGUGUUUAGAAACCUAAACAUUGGCUUUCUUUUAUGGCCAAUUCAAACACUCUCAAAAGCUCAUCUCCCCGAUGUGGGAUUGAGCUAAAUUUUUUUUUUCUUUUGUUUUCAACAAAGGCGACUCACACUAACUAGCGGGAAUUUUUGCAGACAGAAUUUUGAAAAAAUACGAAUACGUAGAGUAAUAGUCGAGCAACUUCAAAAUUUCAAAUUUAUUCGCUCGCAUGUUUAAUGGACUGAAAUUAACAUUAUGAGCUAAAUAAUUGAGGUAGUUCACCCUUAAUUCGCCAAAUUGGUAAAAACUCUUAAUCCACCAUUAAUUUAUCAGAUUGGUAAAAAUUUUUAUAGUCAAAAAGACUUGAACUCGAGACCUUUCAUUGCUCGUAUAAAUGAGAAGACAAUCAUACCAUAUCUGAUUGGCUCAAAUAACUUAUAUUAAAGAAUAAUAAUUUUGGCCUAAUAAUAAUGACAUAUAUAGUCAUUCUCUCAUAUUUUUUUUAUAUAUUAUAGAAAAAAUUUUCCUCUUAAGAUUUUAAAAAAAUUACAAUUAAGAGCUGGUUUGGUUUAGCUGUUUACAGCUGCUGAAGUGGAUAGCGGUUGCUAAUAACUAGUGGCUGGUAGUUAAUAGCGAUUAGCUGAUGAAUGUUAAUUGGUACGGUUUUAGCAGUGGUUGAUAAUAAAAUAUAAAAUGACCAUUAAAGAUCUAAUUAUUUUAUAUGUUAUGAUGUAUUGUGUAUAUUUAUUUUAUUUUUAAAGUGAAUAUAUUAUUUUUUAUUUUAUUAUAAUUAUAUAAAUAAAAAUAUUAGUUAAUUUUUUAAAUAAUAUUUUAAUAGAAAAUUGUUAUUAUUAUUAAUGAAUAACUGUAAAUAACAUGACUAUAAAAAUAUUAAUUUACAAAAAAAAAAAGAAAUUUACCAAUAGUUAUUUUUAUAAGGUCAAUGAAUUUGAAAAAAAAUAUAAAUACAAAAAAGUUAGCAAUUGAUAAGAAAAACUUCAAAUCGAAGCUGAUGGAAUUAGUAAUUUUCUAUCAACUGUUAAUUAAAAAGAUUUUUUUUUAUAAUUUUCACUAUAUAUGUAUACACAUCAGUGGAUCCAAAAAAUUAAAUUGGUAGGAGUAAUGUAUAAAUGUAAUAAUUCAACAGGGCUAAAAUAUAAAAAUUCAGUGAAACAAACACAUAUUAACAUAAUUAUAUAUACUAAAACGUAAAAAAUUAUAAAUUAAACUGUAAAAAGCCAGUGGGGCAAGUUGCCUCGUUGCCCCAUUGUAGAUCUGCCCUAAGUAUCAUGCAAGGGAGAAGAUUCUCAAUGUUGAGCUCUCUUUUUAAUUUUUAUUUUUUUAGUAAAGUCAUGUUUAGAUGAGUGGUAAGGAAUAAUAUUUGAUAUUUAUACUUAAAAAAAAUAGUCAAGAAUUUUUUUGUAAAUUUAGAUUUUAUAAUAAUAUUGGUGAGAUCCAAACCUAAGACUUAUUGACAUCUAAGGUAUCACUAAAUCUAUCUUUUAUAUUUAAAAAAAAUUACAUAUAGAUAUCAAUUCUACAAUUCCACUACAAGAAAUGGUAAUUAGAUACACUAAAUAACCACAGAUUAUCAUCAACGAUAAACUAAUUAAUUUACUGAAAAUUUUCAAUUAAAAUAAUGAACAAAUUUCCAAGAAAAGAAAGUCAUAUUUUAGUGGCGGACUGUGUUUACCGUAGCAACGGAAAAUAAAAUAAAGUACAAAUAAUAGCGACGGUACUAUUUCAUCUCGUAACUGAAACAAUUAAUUAAAGAUAAUUAGUGAAGCAAUUUUGCUUUGUAACGGACAUGUAGCAUGUUCAUUUAACUAGUUUAGUGGCAUAUUUUAAAACAUUACUGAUUGAAAUAUUUGUCUGUAAUUUUAAUUUAAACUAAAAAGGCAAUUUUUUCGCCCUCCAGAAUCAAUCAACAGUGGUCGUAUUUCAUUAAUAUGCACUAUUCAUCAAUGCCCAUGACACACGUCCGAGAAAAUAUGCAACUCCUCUUUCCACUAUUAUUCAUUCACUUUCUACUAUUAUUUAUGUUUCAUUUUUCUUUGGUAAUUUGUUGUUUAAUUAUUUAUUUAUCUUAUGUAAUUGUUGAUAUUAGAAGUUGAUUGAUUUUAAUUGAAAUUGUUUUUUAUUUUUUAUUUUUUGGAGUUGAUUAAUUUCAAUAGAUAUUAUUAGAACAAAUAGUGUAAUGUUAUUGUACAAUAAUAUUUUAAUCAGUAUAUAAAAUUAAAUUGGUUUAAUUAAUGAAUAAUAAAUAAUAUAUUUAAUUAACUAGAUUAAAUAAUUAGUAUAAUGACUUAAUUUUUAAAAUGUGAUUGAUUGUAUAAUUAUAAUUAACUUAAUUACAGCAGAAUAUCAUUUCAAAAAAAUUAGAGUAGAAUAUAAAUUGUUGGUUCUUUUAUUAUGUCAUUAUUUGUUUAGGGAAUUAUAUAUAUAUAUAUAUAUAUAUAUAUAUAUAUAUAUAUAUAUAGGAAUUUCAAUGAAUUCAAAAUAAAAUAUAAAUACAGAAAAGUUAACAGUUGAUACGAAAACUUCCAAUCGAAGCUGAUGGAAUUAGUAGAUCUACCCUAUAUAUCAUUCAAGGGAGAAGAUUCUCAAUGCUGAGCUCUCUCUUUUUAUUUUUUAUUUUUUUUAAUAAAGACAUGUUUAGAUGAGUAGUAAGGAAUAAUAUUUGACAUUUAUACUUAAAAAAUUCUGAAAAUUAAGGAAUAAUAUCAUCAACGAUAAACUAAUUAAUUUAAAAUUCUGAAAAUUUUCAGUUAAAAUAAUGAUUGAAUUACCAAUAAAAUGCUGUGAUAUUUUAGCGGCGGAUUGUGUUUACGAUAGCAACAGAAAAUAAAAUAAGGCACAAAAUAAGAAUAAGUGCAGAAAAUAUUUGAAGUCUGAUAUUUGACUAUGGUUUAAUAUUUUGAUAUUAGAGUAAAAAUAAAAUAAGAAGUCAUAAAAUUUGCUCGCUGUUUGGAAAAGAGAGAACGGAAAAUAAGAAAGAAAGGAAAAUAACAAGGGAAAAUAAAAGAAGAUUGUUUUAUUUUCUUUCCUUGGAUAUUUUCCACUUUAGAUUGAAAGGAAAAUAAAGAGAGGAAAGAAAAUAUUACUGUUGCAUAAUUGCAGUUUUAACGUUAACAUUUUAUAUAAUGUUACAAGUUUACUUGACAAAUAAAAAUAAUAUAUUUAAUUAAUUACUAUUUAAUUUAAUUAAAUACCAUCAAUCACAGUCUAAAAAAAAUAAUAUUUAUUUUUUUAAUAUAAAGCAUCAACAAUAAUAUUUUGGUUCUUUCCAAUUUCCAUCCUCUAUAUUUGCUAUUUGUGGAGAAUUGCAGCGACAUGGAAACAAGACAGAGGAGUUAAUUGUUGGAGAUAGGAAAAUGAAUUUUUUUUGUAAUUUUGUACAAACAUUGAAAAUCUCCCACAAAAUUUGUUGUUUUAUCUCCGAUUCGGAGAGAUUGAAAAAUUGCGGGCCAAGAGGAUUUCAGUACAAAUUCUCCUUCCUCUGCAAUUUUCUUAACAUAAUCCAAACAGAAGAAAAUAACUUUCCUCAGUUAUUUUACUCAAUUAUUUUCCUUUCUCAGCUAUUUUCCACCUUUCCAAACACACAUUUAAACAUUUAUGUGGAUUCCUUGGAUUUUUUUAUUUGGUUGAGAAAAAGUAAUUCAUAAAAUUGAUGAAUUUCAUCAUUACUUCAAUUUCGUCAUUUUGAGAGAGAGAAAUCUCAGCUCAGAGUUGGGAUCUUUAUUAAUUACAUACUUUUAUAUGAACGAUGGAAUUUAAAUCAUUUAAUUUUAUUUUAAAAAUAACAUUUCAAACUAUGUAAUUAUUUUCAAUCAAAUAAUAAAAUAUAAGAUUCUAUGCCAACAAGAUGUGGUAUGGUUGGUCUUUUCACUAGUGUGAGGAAUUAGAGGUUUCGCGUUCGAGUCUUAUUUUAAGGAGAGUGAGAGAGGUAGUUAUGUUCAUAGUUUCAGAGCCAUUGGUUUCGGUUUUAAAACUGUAGAUUUCGAUUAUAAAAAGCUUUAAGGAUUGAAUCAAAAUUUAAAUCACUUUUAGGCACACUUUAAGAUGGUUUCAGAACCACCGGUUUUGAUUUCGUUUUGAUUUGAAACCGAAAUUAGAUAAUCAUUUUUAAACUUAUUAUUUUUUUUUAGUUUUGUAUUUUGAAUAAAUAAUAAUAAUAAUAAUAAUAAUAAUAAUACUAUUGGACAAACUAAACCAAAUUAAUAAUUAAAAGUUUUAAAAUUUAAUUUAAAAAUUAUAACAAAACAAAAAAAAUAUAUUAUGUGUUUCUUGUAAAUUUUAGUUUUUCAUAGUUUAAAAUUAGAAUCUUGGAUUCUAAUUUUAGAAAAUGAAGAACCGAAACCAAACAAUAAAAAUAUGAUUUUGAUUAUGGUUUGAAAUCGGAUGCCAUUGAUUGGAGUAUGAUGGCAAUUUUAACUCGAUUACUAUUCGGUUUUGAUUUGAAUUCAACUUCGGUGAUGCCUAUUAAAAUGACUAAUGGCAUGUGUAACAAGGUAGGUGAUACAACUGCAAAUAUUAAAUAAAGAAAAAAAUGUGUGCUAUAAUUAAUAUAUUUAUUAUAUUUCCUCGUAAAGAAAUAUCAUGUCUCUGGUUCACUACAUUGCUGCAGUAUUUAAAGGGUUCACUCAUCAACUCCACUUUCAAAUCAAAACCACACCAAAAAAGAUUACCAACAACAGGAAAUGUCUAUAUCAAAUCUAAUUUCUCUCAACCAACAAUGGCUUCCAAUUCUUGCAGUCUUUCUUCUUCCAAUUUUCUCCCUCUUUCUCUUCAAAAGCAAGAAGAGAACUGAAGGUCCUAAACUACCACCAGGUCCAACACGACUCCCCAUUAUUGGCAAUCUUCACCAGUUAGGCGACAGGCCGUACUACGAUAUGUGGAAAUUGUCACAAAAAUAUGGCCCUGUCAUGCGAGUUCAAUUAGGGAGAUCACCUGGUGUUGUUAUCUCUGGUGCAGAGGCUUCAAGAGAAGCCAUGAAAGACCAUGAUCUUGACACUUGCAGUCGCCCUUUAUCGGUCGGGCCCGGUAGACUGUCAUAUAAUUUCUUGGAUGUUGCAUUUUCUCCAUAUUC